GACUUUCUCCAGAACCCUUCCAUUCUGCACGAACCGGCUCGGAAUAACCCCGGCGGGCCGUGCCGCAGGCGAGGUCCUUCCGCCCGGAGAUUGACGGGACUACCAGCCAAUCGGCAGUCAGAGCGAGUCUCCCGCGUACCCGGAAGAGGCAACGGAACCAGGCACUUUAUUCCAGUAGAAAAACUGGGUCGCAGCAACAGUGGCCGACGAGCCGAGGAAGCCAGGGGCGCUCUCGCCAGCGACAGCGCGCAGCGGGUGCACGUUGAGGUCGGCUGCCUGGCGUUGCUGCAGCGACGGCCUCUGUUUCCGGGCGCGCGGCGCCCUCGCGGGACGUCACUUCCGCCCGGCCUCGGUGAAGCCCCUUCCUCUUUUGGUUCCCUUCUUCCUUCCCUUGGCCCCGCCUCCCGGAAGCUCCGAUGGGUCCUCGCCUGCGGGUCAGGGGUGAGGAGUGGGGGCGCCGAGCGGACCCCGGCGAAUAACUGCCCGAGUUCCGCUCUCCAGCGGCGCGAGUCGUUAGAGACCAGGCGAGGUCCGACUCGGGUUACUGCCGCCCAUAAGCCCCCUUUUCCUGGAGCGUGGCUCGGACGCGGGGUAGUGUGUCGUCUCGGUGAUGGCAGGGCCGCUUUCUAAAGCAGCGAGGUGCUUUAGCAUCCAUUUCUCCUCCUCGAGCUCCGAGACCCCGGGAGGCAGUUUGGGCAGACAGAGUAUUUGCUCGCCUCCCCUGUUGCUGUGAGGAAACUGAAGCUCUUGUGGAAGUCCCUCCAGGCAACACGGCUCCCUGAGAGGUAGAAUUGUGAUUCACACUCAGGUCAGGGCUCCCCAGGGUUGCAUCGAAAUGAUGAGGAGAGCGUUUGGCGAUAGGGAAGAAACUGCAGAUACAAGAAAAGGGAGCUGGUAUUUCUGAGUGUGUUCUUCGUGUGCGGCGUUAUGCUUAAGUUCUCCCUGUACUUACUCAUCCUUUGAAAGGGGCACGGUAAUAAUACUCUUAUCCCUGGGAUAGGAGACUGAGCCUCAGCCUCAGUGAUGAUACACGGCUUGUUCAGUAUUAAUGAUUCAGUAGACACUUCUCAGGUCGCUUUCAGCUCUGUGUUGUCCCCAACACAAUAGAUUUGGUUCCUGUCCCAUUCAAACUAUUAUUCUGAUUCUGGCAUUUCAGGAAGUGAGAUUUCUCUUUUUUCUUAGUCUCUUCAUUCUUUGCCCAUUGUCCCAUUUGUCUUACUCCUUAUCAGCAUCCUGUUUAGAAAUUAGUAGUUGCCUAGAUUCAGCCCUGACUCUUAACUCCACACUUCACUUUUUUCUUUCCAGGAGGAAUAUGGGGAUUGUGUUCCUUGGUAUGAAGUUCAUGGAUUUAGGUUAAGAGGCUGGCAGAAAACUUGCUAGUUUUUACUUUGGAAGUGAUCUCUUUAUUGUUGCUCUUCUUUCAUAUCUUACCUAAAGUUUCUGUUUUUUUU
Molecule: long non-coding RNA, 1451 nt
Filed under: Canis lupus familiaris (dog)
Lineage: Eukaryota; Metazoa; Chordata; Mammalia; Carnivora; Canidae
Description: lncRNA (ENSCAFG00030017907.1)
Source: RNAcentral